AAAUUAAGAGCUGUUAAAGGUGCCCAUUGUUCGGGGUAAAAGGAAAGAUGGUGAAAUUCCAUCGCUUCCCAGACACAGCUGUAAGCGCGCACUGUCUAUAAACGACAGUAAAAAUUCCGGCAUAAAAGUCACUGUGAAUUUUCACGGGAAGACAGUCCGGUAGCCGCAAGCCAGAAAGCCUGCCUUUAAUUAUCCGCUUUG
Molecule: non-coding RNA, 201 nt
Filed under: Spirochaetota bacterium
Lineage: Bacteria; Pseudomonadati; Spirochaetota
Source: RNAcentral